CUUGGAUGACAGCUGAGCUAACAAAAAACAUAAGAAUGAACUGUAGAAGAUCCUUCAACAAAAUCAAACGCUUUAAUAACGAUAAGCGCUGGUAUGAUUUCAUCAACCGCAACUUACUUGCCUGCUUGAGUCUUGAACUGCUUACAGCCGAAAACCUAAAGGCAGUGUGAUAUGGAAGAGACAAGGACUCCCAGUAAACCUGUAAUAAUCUGAAAUCUGAUACUUUGCUAGAAAGACGAAAGUUCAUCAAUUCAACCCACCAUCUUUGUCUUUAAGAGGUAGCUCUGUUAAAUAUCUCGAUGUAAUUCUUGGUUGAAAAAAAUUUUGCUAAUGACCGUGAAAAGCUUCAGAUCUGGCAUACCUGUAGAAGAGAUCUUGUACCAAAACGUGGCCUAAGACCUUACAAGAAGCAUUGGCUUGACACAAGUGUCACUAAAGGAGUACCGCAUAAAAUCCUUUGAAGCGGUACAAUGUACCUGUCUACUUGACAUAUCAGGGGCAAGAGGCGUUCAAAGCAAUAGGCGGGGCGGUAUUACAAAUAUUAAGUGAAAAAAGGGCAACUAAAAUAAGGCGGAGUGCAAUGUAACAGGUGGUGGAAGGUAUAGCCAAUAGCACUUUGCUCACUUGAAGAUGAUGUGUCCGGAAAUAAGGAAUGCGUCCAGCUACGUCCACUAGAUUUGCUUGUGAUGAAGAAGAGCAAGGACAACACAACCGCUUGAGCCUGAAUAACUGAUGCAGAAACGUUACGUGGCGUGACAAGAUGUGAUUUCGACGUCAACAACGCCAACCAAAAUAGGGGUGAGCUUGAGGAAUAGGUACAUUGUUGAGCUAUAACAUAGGAUAUUUCUUCGCUUUUAUUUAGAAAUUAUUAUUAAUUUGUCCAUAUUUUGGUUAACUUUAAUAUGAGAUUUUGUCAAUUAAAUAAAGAUGUUGUCAUGGAUGCAAUGGGACAUUUAUGCGGCUCAAAAAGCAUCA
This is a long non-coding RNA of Ceratitis capitata (Mediterranean fruit fly), 975 nucleotides long. RefSeq lists it as uncharacterized. Lineage: Eukaryota; Metazoa; Arthropoda; Insecta; Diptera; Tephritidae. The record is from RefSeq and is a predicted model, not a curated record. The transcript is spliced from 4 exons.